RNAcentral lists this transfer RNA (62 nucleotides) under Ictidomys tridecemlineatus (thirteen-lined ground squirrel). RNAcentral's name for it is "Spermophilus tridecemlineatus (thirteen-lined ground squirrel) tRNA". It matches the Rfam family "tRNA", at positions 6 to 65 of the family's 71-position model. From Rfam's summary of the family: Transfer RNA (tRNA) molecules are approximately 80 nucleotides in length. Their secondary structure includes four short double-helical elements and three loops (D, anti-codon, and T loops). Further hydrogen bonds mediate the characteristic L-shaped molecular structure. tRNAs have two regions of fundamental functional importance: the anti-codon, which is responsible for specific mRNA codon recognition, and the 3' end, to which the tRNAs corresponding amino acid is attached (by aminoacyl-tRNA synthetases). tRNAs cope with the degeneracy of the genetic code in two manners: having more than one tRNA (with a specific anti-codon) for a particular amino acid; and 'wobble' base-pairing, i.e. permitting non-standard base-pairing at the 3rd anti-codon position. RNAcentral also lists the same sequence under 1 other name. Lineage: Eukaryota; Metazoa; Chordata; Mammalia; Rodentia; Sciuridae. The record is from Rfam by way of RNAcentral.
UGUAGCUCAGUGGUAGAGCAUCUGCCCAGCAUGCCAGGAGGCCCUGGGUUUGAUUCCCAGCA